AUGCUCACUUCAGCAGCACAUAUACUAAAAUUGGAACGAUAGAGAUUAGCAUGGCCCCUGCGAAAGGAUGACACGAAAAUUGGUGAAGUGUUCCAUAUUUUU
Molecule: small nuclear RNA, 102 nt
Organism: Mastomys coucha (southern multimammate mouse)
Lineage: Eukaryota; Metazoa; Chordata; Mammalia; Rodentia; Muridae
Source: RefSeq, a predicted model, not a curated record